GAAAAGUUCGCUAUUUGUUGCAUUUGUGAUAAAAUUUCGGCAGGAUUUUUCUGAGUACAAAUCCUCCGAAAAGCCUAUGAAAACGUUACAUUUUUCUCUGUUGGUACUGUUCUUGCUUCAUUAUGAAUUCAUUUUUACUCCCAUGAGAGUUACGUGGAAUUUCCAUGGAAUUUGUGCUUUCGAGUUGUUUGUGCUGAAACGCAUUCUCUCGUAUAAUACUCCGUACACUUUGAAAUGGUGAUGCCACAAUUUACCCUGCAGCAGAGAGCUUUUAUGCAUGGUAUCAGAGUUCCUCCGUAGCAACAACAUAAACUUGGUUCGCCAAAGUUUCACGAAUAUCCAGAUGUACGAUGCCUUCACGUAUUCGCACGUGAAGGGCAUCGUACAUGCAUCCGGAUAUUCUUUCGUGAACUUUGGCGAACCAAGUUUAUGUUGUUGCUACGGAGGAACUCUGAUACCAUAAAAGCUCUCUGCUGCGGGGUAAAUUGUGGCAUCGCCAUUUCAAAGUGUACGGAGUAUUAUACGAGAGAAUGCGUUUCAGC
Molecule: non-coding RNA, 542 nt
Organism: Paramuricea clavata
Lineage: Eukaryota; Metazoa; Cnidaria; Anthozoa; Malacalcyonacea; Plexauridae
Source: the annotation of a GenBank genome assembly